This 483-nucleotide ribosomal RNA is filed under the name uncultured bacterium. RNAcentral describes it as "partial 16S ribosomal RNA". It matches the Rfam family "Bacterial small subunit ribosomal RNA", at positions 30 to 506 of the family's 1533-position model. The record is from RNAcentral.
AUUGAACGCUGGCGGCAGGCCUAACACAUGCAAGUCGAGCGGAUGAAGGGAGCUUGCUCCUGGAUUCAGCGGCGGACGGGUGAGUAAUGCCUAGGAAUCUGCCUGGUAGUGGGGGAUAACGUCCGGAAACGGGCGCUAAUACCGCAUACGUCCUGAGGGAGAAAGUGGGGGAUCUUCGGACCUCACGCUAUCAGAUGAGCCUAGGUCGGAUUAGCUAGUUGGUGGGGUAAAGGCCUACCAAGGCGACGAUCCGUAACUGGUCUGAGAGGAUGAUCAGUCACACUGGAACUGAGACACGGUCCAGACUCCUACGGGAGGCAGCAGUGGGGAAUAUUGGACAAUGGGCGAAAGCCUGAUCCAGCCAUGCCGCGUGUGUGAAGAAGGUCUUCGGAUUGUAAAGCACUUAAAGUUGGGAGGAAGGGCAGUAAGUUAAUACCUUGCUGUUUUGACGUUACCAACAGAAUAAGCACCGGCUAACUUCGU